Molecule: long non-coding RNA, 347 nt
Filed under: Sorghum bicolor (sorghum)
Lineage: Eukaryota; Viridiplantae; Streptophyta; Magnoliopsida; Poales; Poaceae
Description: long non-coding RNA (SBIC_LNC016646)
Source: RNAcentral
UACCAAGGUUAUCCAAUCGUCCUCACCGUCUGACAUUUUAUAGAUUAUUUAUAUAACAUAUAUACCCUCUUAAUCCUUUUGCAAUCCAGAUAUCGACCAUGUAUGCUUCACAGCAGCAUCAACCAUCCAAAUGGCCACAGUAUAUGAAGAGAUGAAAAACAGCUGUUGGUGUUUCAUACAGUUUGUGUACAUAUAUAUAAUUUGGAGGCAAGAAGCAAGUGAGUUUGUACGCCCUUGGAGAACGAACGCAAGGCAAGUCUAUGACCUCAUCACAGCGACACAGGAGGCACCAUACAUAGGUCAUCUGUGAGCACUGAGCACCGCUGGUGUGGGAUCCUCCUCAUGCC